AAGACCUUGCGCUUUUGGAGCGGCCGAUGUCUGAUUAGCCUGUUGGUGAGGUAAAAGCUUACCAAGGCUUCGAUCAGUAGCUGGUCUGAGAGGGCGACCAGCCACACUGGGACUGAGACACGGCCCAGACUCCUACGGGAGGCAGCAGUGGGGAAUUUUGGACAAUGGGGGCAACCCUGAUCCAGCCAUGCCGCGUGAGUGAAGAAGGCCUUCGGGUUGUAAAGCUCUUUCAGCCGGAACGAAACGGUUACGGUUAAUACCCGUGACUACUGACGGUACCGGAAGAAGAAGCACCGGCUAACUACGUGCCAGCAGCCGCGGUAAUACGUAGGGUGCGAGCGUUAAUCGGAAUUACUGGGCGUAAAGCGUGCGCAGGUGGUUUUGUAAGUCAGAUGUGAAAUCCCCGGGCUUAACCUGGGAACU
Molecule: ribosomal RNA, 423 nt
Filed under: uncultured bacterium
Lineage: Bacteria
Description: bacterial SSU rRNA
Rfam family: Bacterial small subunit ribosomal RNA
Source: RNAcentral